Molecule: ribosomal RNA, 225 nt
Filed under: Triticum aestivum (bread wheat)
Lineage: Eukaryota; Viridiplantae; Streptophyta; Magnoliopsida; Poales; Poaceae
Description: partial small subunit ribosomal RNA
Source: RNAcentral
AUGACGCCAAUGUCAACAUCAUCAACCCAGUGCCGCAAGGAUCGUGAUGGGGAGCUCGCAAGAAGGACGCCCGCCAUCCACUUCGUCAUGCUGGAGCUAGAGGACGGAGGCGUGGCACGUUGGGGAUGCCGCCGAUGUCUACUUCGUCAAGCUGGAGCCCAGAGGCGUGGAGCUCGCAGGGACUCCGCCGUGUGCCGCGGAGGAAGGCGAGACGGAGCUCGCUAG